GAGGUUCUUCCCUCCUGACGUUGGGGUUCUCUCCACCCUACCCAUGAUCCUGAGGCCCCAUCUUCUCUCUCCGUGCACUGUCCUCUUGGGUCUUGCCUGUAUCUGUCCUUCAGGAUUUACCGCUAAAAUGGAAUGAAAUCGUGAUCCUUUUAAAUACGCAUGAAAACUCCCACUGCACUCCCUUCAUGGCCCAGCAGUCCUGUCUUCCCCUGCCUCUCCUGCUUCUUCUCUCACCACUGACCCUUCAUUCUGUUCUCCAGACAUGACACCUCUCUGUGGCUGUUGAGUAAUUUAAAAUCUGUCUUCCUAAGGCUAUUCUCUGAACAGCACCCGUAAACCUGAGGGUAUCCCUUGAUCAUGUUGUCUGCCCAGUGUUGGGCAGCUACCCUGCAGCUCUGGACAGCUAUCUGCAUCUCAGAGUGCUGCCUCUUUCACUGGCCACUGAAGUUCAAGCUUCAAUGAACCAAGAAUUCUCUGCUGUGGGCCCAGCACCGGUGACAACUGAGACCAUUAAGGAAGGUGGUUCUGAAUAGACUACUUCAUACCAGCAAGCUUGGGUGCAAGCCCUUUCAACUGGUGACCCAUUCUGAUCUUUCCAUUGGCCUGAAGACUUCACCUUUUCAUCCUGAAUUUCAGAUUCAGGAUGAUGGAAGGAACACUUUGUGGGGAUUAUGGCUACUUUUGGGUACCCAGAGCUCUGGGAAUGGACACAGUUAACACCUUCAACCAAUCAAUGCAGUCUUCAUUCUACCCCAGAGGCUUCUGAGAUCUGGUACUCAGUGCUGACUAAUCUGGUCUCAGUACUGACUGGAUGCUUCACCAUAUAAGCAGAACUUUUGGGUACCCAGAGCUCUGGGAAUGGACACAGUUAACACCUUCAACCAAUCAAUGCAGUCUUCAUUCUACCCCAGAGGCUUCUGAGAUCUGGUACUCAGUGCUGACUAAUCUGGUCUCAGUACUGACUGGAUGCUUCACCAUAUAAGCAGAACUCAAGCUACCUUCUGCUUCUGUCCAGUACACAUGGAAAGCUCUCUACAAUUGUAACCCAAAUAAACGUGGCUGUCUUGCUCAAUAGGCACUGCUCACACUGGGAUUCAGCAGAUCUUAAAGGUUUACUGUACCUUCGCUUGCUUUCUGGGCCUGUCUUUAUGUAGGAAGACUUUGAUACUCUUCAUUCAACAUCAAGACAGAUGUACUUCCAUGUCAAGCUCCAUAACUAUCUUCCCCUGGGAGGGACCUACCCUUGCUGACCUGAAUGAAUAGACUAUGCACUACACUAAAUCCCAGCCCCGAGCCUUCACUCUGGCCUGGGGCCUCAUUCACAAAGAGGCAGACGAUAAGUUUCCGUUAAGUUGUAGGAGUUUAUUUUAAAUAACCUACAGUUGAUUAAAAGGGAAUUCAUGAUAAAAAUAGAAGAUACUUGAGGAAAGAUGAGGGAAUGGACUCUGCACACACACUAAACUAACAAUGCCUCUAAAACUAGUGAUUAUAGCAAAAAAUGUCUUCACAUUAAAAUUUUGCUUUUUAUGUUUUUUUUUUCAAUUUUUUACACAAUUACAAAAGAAAAAUAAAAGCCCUAAAAUCUU
Molecule: long non-coding RNA, 1586 nt
Organism: Peromyscus californicus insignis
Lineage: Eukaryota; Metazoa; Chordata; Mammalia; Rodentia; Cricetidae
Exons: 2
Source: RefSeq, a predicted model, not a curated record